RNAcentral lists this ribosomal RNA (468 nucleotides) under uncultured bacterium. RNAcentral's name for it is "partial 16S ribosomal RNA". It matches the Rfam family "Bacterial small subunit ribosomal RNA", at positions 28 to 507 of the family's 1533-position model. The record is from RNAcentral.
GACGAACGCUGGCGGCGUGCUUAACACAUGCAAGUCGAACGGAAAGGCCCUGCUUUUGUGGGGUGCUCGAGUGGCGAACGGGUGAGUAACACGUGAGUAACCUGCCCUUGACUUUGGGAUAACUUCAGGAAACUGGGGCUAAUACCGGAUAGGAGCUCUUGCUGCAUGGUGGGGGUUGGAAAGUUUCGGCGGUUGGGGAUGGACUCGCGGCUUAUCAGCUUGUUGGUGGGGUAGUGGCUUACCAGGGCUUUGACGGGUAGCCGGCCUGAGAGGGUGACCGGCCACAUUGGGACUGAGAUACGGCCCAGACUCGUACGGUAGGCAGCAGUGGGGAGUAUUGCACAAGAGGCGGAAGCCAGAUGCAACAACGCCGCGUGCGGGAUGACGGCCUUCGGGUUGUGAACCGCUUUCGCCUGUUACGAAGCGUGAGUGACGGUAAUGGGUAAAGAAGCACCGGCUAACUACGUG